This is a non-coding RNA of Malurus melanocephalus (red-backed fairy wren), 690 nucleotides long. Lineage: Eukaryota; Metazoa; Chordata; Aves; Passeriformes; Maluridae. The record is from the annotation of a RefSeq genome assembly.
GGCGGAGCUGGCGGCGGCGGAGAGGAGGCGGCACGGCCGGAGCAGAGAGCCGGGGCUGGCGGGGACAGCGAUGCUCGGGCGGCGGAGCGGCGGGAUGCGGCGGGGUCGGGGCGCGGGGCUGGCGGCGCUGGCCGCGGUGCUGCUCGUGGCUACAGUGAGAGCCCAGGUGCAGCAGGAGCCGUGGCUGGAGACCACCGAGGGCACCGGCACCACCAUCAACUGUUCCCACCCCUCCAAACAGAUCGGCUAUUACAUCCAUUUCUACCGUCAGCUCCCGGGCAAAAGCCCGAAUUCCUCGUACUCACUGCUAGAGGAACCAAGGAUCUGGCGGACAUUGCAGGACAGCUGUCGGUGUCGGAGGACGGCCGGAACAGCGCUCUGUACCUCGCUCGGCCCCGGCGCGGGGACGCGGCCGUGUAUUACUGCGCGCUGGGUGACACGGGCACAGGAGCCGCGGCUGCGGCCGGGCACGAACCGCCGCGGGCGGGGACAGCAGGGGACAACAGGGGACAACAGGGGACAACAGGGGACAACAGGGGGCGCUGCCGCUCCGCUCGAGAGCCUCUCGGGAACAGCCCCGAGCAGCAGCUUCCCAAGAUCAACAGGAGCCGAAGUGUAGUUGAGCGCUGCCGGCACCUGCCCCAUACAGAUGUGUCCAGGGAAGAGGCGCUGAAAUGCAGCCCCUGUCUC